This 424-nucleotide ribosomal RNA is filed under the name uncultured bacterium. RNAcentral describes it as "bacterial SSU rRNA". It matches the Rfam family "Bacterial small subunit ribosomal RNA", at positions 508 to 930 of the family's 1533-position model. The record is from RNAcentral.
ACAGCAGCCGCGGUAAGACAGAGGGUGCAAACGUUGUUCGGAAUUACUGGGCGUAAAGCGCGUGUAGGCGGCUCAGCAAGUCGGAUGUGAAAGCCCUUGGCUCAACUGAGGAAGUGCAUUCGAAACUGCGGAGCUUGAGUCCCGGAGAGGAUGGUGGAAUUCUCGGUGUAGAGGUGAAAUUCGUAGAUAUCGAGAGGAACACCGGUGGCGAAGGCGGCCAUCUGGACGGUGACUGACGCUGAGACGCGAAAGCAUGGGGAGCAAACAGGAUUAGAUACCCUGGUAGUCCAUGCCGUAAACGAUGGGUGCUAGGUGUCGCGGGCAUUGACCCCUGCGGUGCCGAAGCUAACGCAUUAAGCACCCCGCCUGGGGAGUACGGCCGCAAGGCUAAAACUCAAAGGAAUUGACGGGGGCCCGCACAAGG